UGAUGUGUGAGUUAAUUUAUAGAAAAUAAGGAAUUAUGUUUUAUAAUAUAGGGAUGAAGGAAAAUAUAUUUUGUACUAUAAUUUGAUAUCCUAAUAAACAAGUUGCUGUGCGGCCGUGCGGCUCUACAAUGGGAAGAUCAAUACUUCCUCGUUAAAUUAUUUAAUAGUAAAGUACGGUUGAAACAUCCUCCAUCACAUCCCGAAGCCAUCAACUCUGCUUUCGUUUAUCGAGAAAGCCCAGCCAUGAUGUUAUGGCCAUCGAAAUGCUCUGUGCCUCUCAAGCUCUUGGCCAUUUAAAGCUGGUCGAACGUUUAUGGGCUUGGAUAUUAUAAGGAAAAUUCUGCUUAAGAUUGGAUGAGGUCAGGUCAAUUCCAUGAUAUGAUGGCAUGCCGGCGACGCACUUAAUCCUCCAUGACUGCAAUCAAUCUCACAUCGGAGCAUUCA
RNAcentral lists this long non-coding RNA (444 nucleotides) under Phoenix dactylifera (date palm). Its description in RNAcentral is "long non-coding RNA (PDAC_LNC000454)". Lineage: Eukaryota; Viridiplantae; Streptophyta; Magnoliopsida; Arecales; Arecaceae. The record is from RNAcentral.